GAUGAACGCUGGCGGCGUGCCUAACACAUGCAAGUCGAGCGGGGCAUGGGCUUCGGCCCAUACUUAGCGGCGGACGGGUGAGUAACGCGUGGGUAAUCUGCCUAUCACUGGGGAAUAACAAUGAGAAAUCAUUGCUAAUACCGCAUACGGUCGUGAAAUCGCAUGGUUUUACGAGGAAAGAUUUAUCGGUGAAAGAGGAGUCCGCGUCUGAUUAGCUAGUUGGUGAGGUAAAGGCCCACCAAGGCAACGAUCAGUAGCCGACCUGAGAGGGUGAUCGGCCACAUUGGAACUGAGAGACGGUCCAAACUCCUACGGGAGGCAGCAGUGGGGAAUAUUGCACAAUGGGCGGAAGCCUGAUGCAGCAACGCCGCGUGAAGGAAGAAGGUUUUCGGAUCGUAAACUUCUAUCGACAGGGACGA
RNAcentral lists this ribosomal RNA (419 nucleotides) under uncultured Eubacteriales bacterium. Its description in RNAcentral is "bacterial SSU rRNA". It matches the Rfam family "Bacterial small subunit ribosomal RNA", at positions 28 to 448 of the family's 1533-position model. The record is from RNAcentral. Lineage: Bacteria; Bacillati; Bacillota; Clostridia; Eubacteriales.